RNAcentral lists this ribosomal RNA (495 nucleotides) under Cladosporium cladosporioides. RNAcentral describes it as "eukaryotic LSU rRNA". The stretch from base 130 to 283 matches the Rfam family "5.8S ribosomal RNA". Lineage: Eukaryota; Fungi; Ascomycota; Dothideomycetes; Cladosporiales; Cladosporiaceae. The record is from RNAcentral.
UGUUCAUAACCCUUUGUUGUCCGACUCUGUUGCCUCCGGGGCGACCCUGCCUUCGGGCGGGGGCUCCGGGUGGACACUUCAAACUCUUGCGUAACUUUGCAGUCUGAGUAAACUUAAUUAAUAAAUUAAAACUUUUAACAACGGAUCUCUUGGUUCUGGCAUCGAUGAAGAACGCAGCGAAAUGCGAUAAGUAAUGUGAAUUGCAGAAUUCAGUGAAUCAUCGAAUCUUUGAACGCACAUUGCGCCCCCUGGUAUUCCGGGGGGCAUGCCUGUUCGAGCGUCAUUUCACCACUCAAGCCUCGCUUGGUAUUGGGCAACGCGGUCCGCCGCGUGCCUCAAAUCGACCGGCUGGGUCUUCUGUCCCCUAAGCGUUGUGGAAACUAUUCGCUAAAGGGUGUUCGGGAGGCUACGCCGUAAAACAACCCCAUUUCUAAGGUUGACCUCGGAUCAGGUAGGGAUACCCGCUGAACUUAAGCAUAUCAAUAAGCGGAGGAA